This 110-nucleotide non-coding RNA is filed under the name Virgibacillus sp. Its description in RNAcentral is "TPP sequence". It matches the Rfam family "TPP riboswitch aptamer (THI element)". Rfam says of the family: Vitamin B(1) in its active form thiamin pyrophosphate (TPP) is an essential coenzyme that is synthesised by coupling of pyrimidine and thiazole moieties in bacteria. The previously detected thiamin-regulatory element, thi box was extended, resulting in a new, highly conserved RNA secondary structure, the THI element, which is widely distributed in eubacteria and also occurs in some archaea. Lineage: Bacteria; Bacillati; Bacillota; Bacilli; Caryophanales; Bacillaceae. The record is from RNAcentral. RNAcentral also lists the same sequence under 1 other name.
ACUAAGUUGUGGGGGGACCAGUAAUGCUGGUUGAGAUUGUAUCCGAGAGAUACUGACCCUUGGAACCUGAUCUGGUUGAGACUAGCGGAGGGAACAUGUUUAAACGAUGA